RNAcentral lists this ribosomal RNA (1341 nucleotides) under uncultured bacterium. Its description in RNAcentral is "bacterial SSU rRNA". It matches the Rfam family "Bacterial small subunit ribosomal RNA", at positions 27 to 1381 of the family's 1533-position model. The record is from RNAcentral.
GGAUGAACGCUAGCGGCAGGCUUAACACAUGCAAGUCGAGGGGCAGCACGGGUAGCAAUACCUGGUGGCGACCGGCGCAAGGGUGCGUAACGCGUGAGCAACAUGCCCUAUACAGGGGGAUAAUCCAGGGAAACUUGGUCUAAUAUCCCAUAGUAUUUAGAGGAGGCAUCUUCUAUAAAUUAAAGCUUCGGUGGUAUAGGAUUGGCUCGCGUGACAUUAGCUAGAUGGUGAGGUAACGGCUCACCAUGGCAAUGAUGUCUAGGGGUUCUGAGAGGAAGGCCCCCCACACUGGGACUGAGACACGGCCCAGACUCCUACGGGAGGCAGCAGUGGGGAAUAUUGGGCAAUGGGGGAAACCCUGACCCAGCAACGCCGCGUGAGGGAAGAAGGUUUUCGGAUUGUAAACCUCUGUUCUUGGGGAAGAGCAGAAGACGGUACCCAAGGAGGAAGCCCCGGCUAACUACGUGCCAGCAGCCGCGGUAAUACGUAGGGGGCGAGCGUUGUCCGGAAUGAUUGGGCGUAAAGGGCGCGUAGGCGGCUGUGUAAGUCAGUAGUGGAAGUCCAGCUUUUAAGGUUGGAAGUGCUAUUGAAACUGUGCAGCUUGAGUGCAGGAGAGGUUAUCGGAAUUCCCGGUGUAGCGGUGAAAUGCGUAGAGAUCGGGAGGAACACCAGUGGCGAAGGCGGGUAACUGGACUGCAACUGACGCUGAGGCGCGAAAGUGUGGGGAGCAAACAGGAUUAGAUACCCUGGUAGUCCACACUGUAAACGAUGAAUGCUAGGUGUAGGGGGUAUCGACCCCUUCUGUGCCGGAGUAAACACAAUAAGCAUUCCGCCUGGGGAGUACGGUCGCAAGAUUAAAACUCAAAGGAAUUGACGGGGGCCCGCACAAGCAGCGGAGCAUGUGGUUUAAUUCGAAGCAACGCGAAGAACCUUACCAGGUCUUGACAUCCAGGUAAAGCUGCAGAGAUGCAGUGUGUGCUUGCACAAUCUGAGACAGGUGGUGCAUGGUUGUCGUCAGCUCGUGUCGUGAGAUGUUGGGUUAAGUCCCGCAACGAGCGCAACCCUUGCCGGCAGUUACUAACAGGUGAAGCUGAGGACUCUGCUGGGACCGCCGGGGACAACUCGGAGGAAGGUGGGGACGACGUCAAAUCAUCAUGCCCCUUAUGACCUGGGCUACACACGUGCUACAAUGGCCGAGACAGAGAGCAGCGAGGGCGCAAGCCGGAGCGAAUCUCAAAAAAGCGGUCACAGUUCGGAUUGUGGGCUGCAACCCGCCCACAUGAAGCAGGAGUUGCUAGUAAUCGCGAAUCAGCAUGUCGCGGUGAAUACGUUCCCGGGCCU